RNAcentral lists this ribosomal RNA (938 nucleotides) under uncultured Thermococcales archaeon. RNAcentral's name for it is "bacterial SSU rRNA". It matches the Rfam family "Archaeal small subunit ribosomal RNA", at positions 547 to 1478 of the family's 1478-position model. The record is from RNAcentral. Lineage: Archaea; Methanobacteriati; Methanobacteriota; Thermococci; Thermococcales.
AAAUCCCACGGCUCAACCGUGGGGCUUGCUGGGGAUACUGCGGGCCUUGGGACCGGGAGAGGCGGGGGGUACCCCUGGGGUAGGGGUGAAAUCCUAUAAUCCCAGGGGGACCGCCAGUGGCGAAGGCGCCCCGCUGGAACGGGUCCGACGGUGAGGGACGAAGGCCAGGGGAGCGAACCGGAUUAGAUACCCGGGUAGUCCUGGCUGUAAAGGAUGCGGGCUAGGUGUCGGGCGAGCUUCGAGCUCGCCCGGUACCGGAGGGAAGCCGUUAAGCCCGCCGCCUGGGGAGUACGGCCGCAAGGCUGAAACUUAAAGGAAUUGGCGGGGGAGCACUACAAGGGGUGGAGCGUGCGGUUUAAUUGGAUUCAACGCCGGGAACCUCACCGGGGGCGACGGCAGGAUGAAGGCCAGGCUGAAGGUCUUGCCGGACGCGCCGAGAGGAGGUGCAUGGCCGCCGUCAGCUCGUACCGUGAGGCGUCCACUUAAGUGUGGUAACGAGCGAGACCCGCGCCCCCAGUUGCCAGUCCUCCCCGCUGGGGAGGAGGCACUCUGGGGGGACCGCCGGCGAUAAGCCGGAGGAAGGAGCGGGCGACGGUAGGUCAGUAUGCCCCGAAACCCCCGGGCUACACGCGCGCUACAAUGGGCGGGACAAUGGGAUCCGACCCCGAAAGGGGAAGGGAAUCCCCUAAACCCGCCCUCAGUUCGGAUCGCGGGCUGCAACUCGCCCGCGUGAAGCUGGAAUCCCUAGUACCCGCGUGUCAUCAUCGCGCGGCGAAUACGUCCCUGCUCCUUGCACACACCGCCCGUCACUCCACCCGAGCGGGGUCCGGGUGAGGCUCGGUCUCCCUUCGGGGAGGCCGGGUCGAGCCCGGGCUCCGUGAGGGGGGAGAAGUCGUAACAAGGUAGCCGUAGGGGAACCUACGGCUCGAUCACCUCCU